UGAGCCAAGUUUAGGGUUUUCUCAAAACCCAAGCAGUAUUGAACUGAAGAGUUUGAUCAUGGCUCA
Molecule: ribosomal RNA, 66 nt
Filed under: Pseudomonas aeruginosa
Lineage: Bacteria; Pseudomonadati; Pseudomonadota; Gammaproteobacteria; Pseudomonadales; Pseudomonadaceae
Also listed under: 3 other names
Description: partial 16S ribosomal RNA
Source: RNAcentral